This 253-nucleotide ribosomal RNA is filed under the name uncultured bacterium. Its description in RNAcentral is "partial 16S ribosomal RNA". It matches the Rfam family "Bacterial small subunit ribosomal RNA", at positions 524 to 776 of the family's 1533-position model. The record is from RNAcentral.
UACGGGGGGGGCAAGCGUUGUUCGGAAUUACUGGGCGUAAAGGGCUCGUAGGCGGCCAACUAAGUCAGACGUGAAAUCCCUCGGCUUAACCGGGGAACUGCGUCUGAUACUGGAUGGCUUGAGUGUGGGAGAGGGAUGCGGAAUUCCAGGUGUAGCGGUGAAAUGCGUAGAUAUCAGGAGGAACACCUGCGGUGUAGACGGCUUUCUGGACCAUUACUGACACUGAGACACGAAAGCGUGGGUAGCAAACAGG